UACGUAGGGUCCGAGCGUUGUCCGGAAUUAUUGGGCGUAAAGGGCUCGUAGGCGGUUUGUCGCGUCGGGAGUGAAAACACGGGGCUUAACCCCGUGCCUGCUUCCGAUACGGGCAGACUAGAGGUAUGCAGGGGAGAACGGAAUUCCUGGUGUAGCGGUGAAAUGCGCAGAUAUCAGGAGGAACACCGGUGGCGAAGGCGGCGAUCUGGACGAUGACUGACGCUGAGACGCGAAAGCGUGGGGAGCAAACAGG
This 253-nucleotide ribosomal RNA is filed under the name uncultured bacterium. RNAcentral describes it as "partial 16S ribosomal RNA". It matches the Rfam family "Bacterial small subunit ribosomal RNA", at positions 524 to 776 of the family's 1533-position model. The record is from RNAcentral.